RNAcentral lists this transfer RNA (70 nucleotides) under Myroconger compressus (red eel). RNAcentral describes it as "tRNA-Asp". It matches the Rfam family "tRNA". Rfam says of the family: Transfer RNA (tRNA) molecules are approximately 80 nucleotides in length. The record is from RNAcentral. Lineage: Eukaryota; Metazoa; Chordata; Actinopteri; Anguilliformes; Myrocongridae.
AAGAUGCUAGUAACAAAAAUAACGCUACCUUGUCAAGGCAGAAUUGUGAGUUAAAAUCUCACGCAUCUUA